GACGAACGCUGGCGGCGUGCCUAAUACAUGCAAGUAGAACGCUGAAGGAGGAGCUUGCUUCUCUGGAUGAGUUGCGAACGGGUGAGUAACGCGUAGGUAACCUGCCUGGUAGCGGGGGAUAACUAUUGGAAACGAUAGCUAAUACCGCAUAAUAGUAGAUGUUGCAUGACAUUUGCUUAAAAGGUGCAAUUGCAUCACUACCAGAUGGACCUGCGUUGUAUUAGCUAGUUGGUGGGGUAACGGCUCACCAAGGCGACGAUACAUAGCCGACCUGAGAGGGUGGUCGGCCACACUGGGACUGAGACACGGCCCAGACUCCUACGGGAGGCAGCAGUAGGGAAUCUUCGGCAAUGGACGGAAGUCUGACCGAGCAACGCCGCGUGAGUGAAGAAGGUUUUCGGAUCGUAAAGCUCUGUUGUAAGAGAAGAACGAGUGUGAGAGUGGAAAGUUCACGCUGUGACGGUAUCUUACCAGAAAGGGACGGCUAACUACGUG
This 495-nucleotide ribosomal RNA is filed under the name uncultured bacterium. RNAcentral's name for it is "partial 16S ribosomal RNA". It matches the Rfam family "Bacterial small subunit ribosomal RNA", at positions 28 to 507 of the family's 1533-position model. The record is from RNAcentral.